CCUACUGGAGGCAGCAGUGGGGAAUAUUGCACAAUGGGGGAAACCCUGAUGCAGCGACGCCGCGUGAGUGAGGCAGUAUUUCGGGAUGUAAAGCUCUAUCAGCAGGGAAGAGAAUGACGGUACCUGACUAAGAAGCCCCGGCUACCUACGUUCCAGCAGCCGCGGUAAUACGUAGGGCGCAAGAGUUAUCCGGAUUUACUGGGUGUAACGGGAGCGUAGGCGGGUAAUUAAGUCAGUAGUGAAAACCCAGGGCCCAACCUUGGGACUGCUGUUGAUACUGAGUGGCUAGAGUGCAGGAGAGGUAAGCGGAAUUCGUAGUGUAGCGGUGAAAUGCGUAGAUAUUAGGAGGAACACCAGUGGCGAAGGCAGCUUACUGGAAUGUAACUGACGUUGAGGCUCGAAAGCGUGGGGAGCAAACAGGAUUAGAUACCCGAGUAGUC
Molecule: ribosomal RNA, 440 nt
Filed under: uncultured bacterium
Lineage: Bacteria
Description: partial 16S ribosomal RNA
Rfam family: Bacterial small subunit ribosomal RNA
Source: RNAcentral